Molecule: long non-coding RNA, 216 nt
Filed under: Mytilus galloprovincialis (Mediterranean mussel)
Lineage: Eukaryota; Metazoa; Mollusca; Bivalvia; Mytilida; Mytilidae
Source: RNAcentral
AAAUAUUAAUAAAAUUGAGAAUGGAAAUGGGGAAUGUGCCAAAGAGACAACAACCCGACCAUAGAAAAAAAACAACAGCAGAAGGUCACCAACAGGUCUUCAAUGUAGCGAGAAAUUCCCGCACCUGGAGGCGUCCUUCAACUGGCCCCUAAACAAAUAUAUAGUAGUUCAGUGAUAAUGAACGCCAUACUAAUUUCCAAAUUGUACACAAGAAAC